RNAcentral lists this ribosomal RNA (906 nucleotides) under Hypocrella discoidea. RNAcentral describes it as "eukaryotic LSU rRNA". It matches the Rfam family "Eukaryotic large subunit ribosomal RNA", at positions 41 to 958 of the family's 3401-position model. The record is from RNAcentral. Lineage: Eukaryota; Fungi; Ascomycota; Sordariomycetes; Hypocreales; Clavicipitaceae.
UAUCAAUAAGCGGAGGAAAAGAAACCAACAGGGAUUGCCCCAGUAACGGCGAGUGAAGCGGCAACAGCUCAAAUUUGAAAUCUGGCCCCUCCCCCGGGGGGGCCCGAGUUGUAAUUUGCAGAGGAUGCUUCUGGCGAGGUGCCUUCCGAGUUCCCUGGAACGGGACGCCGCAGAGGGUGAGAGCCCCGUCUGGUCGGUCACCGAGCCUCUGUGAAGCUCCUUCGACGAGUCGAGUAGUUUGGGAAUGCUGCUCUAAAUGGGAGGUAUAUGUCUUCUAAAGCUAAAUACCGGCCAGAGACCGAUAGCGCACAAGUAGAGUGAUCGAAAGAUGAAAAGCACUUUGAAAAGAGGGUUAAACAGUACGUGAAAUUGUUGAAAGGGAAGCGCUCACGACCAGACCUGGUCCCGGCGAAUCACCCGGCGUUCUCGCCGGUGCACUUCGACGGGCUUCCAGGCCAGCAUCAGUCCGCGCCGGGGGACAAAGGCGGCGGGAACGUGGCUCCCCAGGGAGUGUUAUAGCCCGCCGCGCAAUGCCCCGGGGGCGGACUGAGGACCGCGCGUCACCGCAAGGAUGCUGGCGUAAUGGUCGUCAGCGACCCGUCUUGAAACACGGACCAAGGAGUCGUCCUCGUAUGCGAGUGUUGGGGCGUCAAACCCCCCGCGCGUAAUGAAAGUGAACGGCAGGUGAGAGCCCUCGCGGGCGCAUCAUCGACCGAUCCUGAUGUUCUCGGAUGGAUUUGAGUAGGAGCAUACGGGGCCGGACCCGAAAGAAGGUGAACUAUGCCUGUGUAGGGUGAAGCCAGAGGAAACUCUGGUGGAGGCUCGCAGCGGUUCUGACGUGCAAAUCGAUCGUCAAACAUGGGCAUGGGGGCGAAAGACUAAUCGAACCUUCUAGUAGCUGGUUUC